AAUGAUCUUCUUGAUAUCUUUUAUGUAUACACGCAUAGUCAUGUAUGAUGAGAACAUUUCAUUGCAUCAAGAUUUUAAAAUGCUUAUAUUAGUGUCUGGAUUGUAGGUAUAUUUGUGGACCACCUUCAGUAGAGACUUCUAAAGACCAAAUGAGAAAGCCAUCGAGUUGACUUAUGAAGGAUGCUGGAGCCCUGAAGAGCAUUUCAGAUUAGAUAGAUGAGACCUUAGUUAGCAAUCACAAAUUGCCAUAGGAUUUACUGAACGCUGAGGUAUCCUGUCUGUGACGCUUCCUGGAGUGGAAAUAUGAUCAUUUAUAGCAUUCGAGGGUACCUUAUGAAGGAAGGCCAACACGUUAGUUACAUGUGCUUCUGGACAGCUGGAGGGCUGGACUUUGAUUCCUAAAUCUCACACGUAUACCGCUGGUUAAACAUUUCUUAAUAUAGCUCCUUUUUUCCCCCCCCAUUUUUAAAAUCCAGACAAGAAGGAAGAAAAGAGAAGACAUUCGAGAUCAAGGUCACGCUCCAGGAGGAGGAGGACCCCCUCAUCCUCCAGACACAGGCGGUCACGAAGCCGGUCAAGGAGGCGGUCACACUCCAAGUCCAGGAGUAGAAGGAGAUCCAAAAGUCCAAGACGGAGACGAUCUCAUUCGAGAGAGAGGGGUAGAAGGUCAAGGAGCACAUCCAAAGCCAGAGACAAAAAGAAAGAAGAUAAAGAAAAAAAACGUUCCAAAACUCCACCAAAAAGCUACAGCACAGCCAGACGCUCUCGGAGUGCAAGCAGAGAGAGAAGACGACGGCGAAGUAGGAGUGGUACAAGGUCCCCUAAAAAGCCCAGAUCUCCUAAAAGAAAGCUGUCCCGCUCACCAUCCCCAAGGAGACAUAAAAAAGAGAAGAAGAAAGAUAAGGACAAAGAAAGAAGCAGAGAUGAAAGGGAGCGAUCAACAAGUAAGAAGAAGAGGAGCAAAGACAAGGAGAAGGAACGAGAAAGGAAGUCUGAGAGUGACAAGGAUGUCAAACAGGUGACUCGGGAUUAUGAUGAAGAGGAGCAAGGCUAUGACAGUGAGAAGGAAAAGAAAGAGGAGAAGAGACCAACAGAAGCAGUGUCCCCUAAAGCAAAGGAGUGCUCUGUGGAGAAGGGGGUGGGCGACCUUCGAGAGUCCAAAGUGAAUGGGGAUGAUCACCACGAAGAAGACAUGGAUAUGAGUGACUGAGCCCAAGGCUGGCUGCAGAUGGGCCUCAGUGUCAUUCCUUGUGAUCCCUAAUGCUGUGUGUGUUCAUCUCACCUAGGUGUAUACAGCUGCACAUUACCAAUGGCUGCAGAACACCCAAUCAUGACCUCUAGUGCUUUAUAGCAAAAGCUGUAAAGUGGUACCUGGGUGACCAGCAUUGCCAUGGUUACAUCCAUUUGCGUAAUCAAGCAGCUGUGCAACUGCUGCUUCUAACAGAUGAACAGCUGCAUGCAUCUCCAGCAGGCAUGGAUUGUCUCUUGUCUAUGAUCCUCAGUGCGUUCACUUAGAGUAUUUCUAGAGUUUGAGUCCUUGCCGUGAUAGAGCCAUGUAGGGAAUGCACUGAUUGCAUGUUACCCCAAGCGUCAUGAAACCUUCCGACACGGUGACCUAUUUAAUGGUCUUGUUUGUUGACAUGACAAAUUAACAUUCUUAGAGUUACAUCUCGAAAAAAGCAUUUGUGAUAGAUAAGCCCUUUGAGCCUUGUGGCUAAAUUUUUGUGGCUUUGUUUAACUUUCAAAGGUUAUAUAUGCACUAACCUUUUUUGAUGGCUAAGUAGGCUUUAAAUUACAGUAAAAUUUUUUCAAAUAAAACUGGCUGUAAAAUAUAUUUUGAAUUAGAGUUGUUCACUUUUUCAUAGCUACUUAUGUUUUUUUCCCAAUAAUUUAUUUCACAUCUCUACCAGUGAACGCAGCCCAUCACUAGAAAAUGACCUUGUCCUGAUUUUCAGUUUUCAACUAUUAGUUUUAAAGCUCACUGUUGAAUAAGAGGAAGUGGUGGUGCAUUUUAAAUUGACUUUCAUGUGCUUUUAAAAUAUGACAGAUCUCCUUGAUAAUGUACUUUUAUUUGAUCUCAAGUUGUAUAAAACCAAUAAAUUUGUGUUACUUUGAUUGCAGUAGUAUCUUAUGCAUAGUGAUUCCAUGUUAUAUGCAGACUAGUUAGGCAACUGUUUUCUUAGUUACAAGCUUCACUUUUGUGCAGUUAAAAAAACAAAAGUAGGCUACAGUCUGUGCCAUGUUGAUGUACAGUUUCUGAAAUUGUUUUACAAGACUUUGAUAAUAAAACCCUUAAACUCACAAGUCAUGCUUCUGUAGAACUGCAUUGUGUUUAUUCACAUGUUGAACGUAUGUCAGUUACAAUCAUUCCCUAUUUACAUGUUUAAACAAUAGCUGAAUGGAGUCCACCCCCUCCGUGUAGAUGCCAGCAUAAUUAUUAACAAUACUUUAUGUCUAAAUUAUGGUUUAACCUGUGUUCUAGAUAUAGGACUGAGGUCAUACAACAGUGUCUUGGGAAUAAAUACAAUCUCACCUAUGCCUAACAAAUUUACAUUUUCAUUGAGAGUACAGAAAUUUGCCUUUCUGAAAUAGUAUGUUAGUUGCUGGUCACAUGUUUGUACUGUAUUACAAUAUUAAACAGGUAAAUGGCUAGUAUUGGGUGGCUUAGAGGAAGGAAGACUAAAACAGAUUUGUAGUCUAAAACUUUUGAAUGUAAAUUAAAAAUUGAAUUCUCUGUACAUAAAAGCAUUUUUUUUCCAGUUUUUAUUUGAGUAACUUUUUAAAGAUGGUAUAAGAAGGAAUUUGCUGUAUGACAAAUGCUUCAAAUUCCAGUUUUGGUCUGAGUACCCACUAAAUUUUUAAAGCAAAGCUGAGUGUAGGUGACACUCAUUAAAAAACUUAGCAGAUUAAAGAACCAUGUGGCAACAUGGCAAAUUCUGUACAAAAGAAGUAAAAUACUGGCAGUUCCCAGGACAAAUCUAUAUCCAAAAUUUAUCCUGUUGCCUACACUAGUGCCAGGUUAAGAUGCUGCCAUGAAGGCAGAUUAGACAUUUCUUUGAAGUCUGCACAAAGGUGGUGCUGUGAAGCACCCGUGCCUUCUACCUGGUAAGCAAUUGCAAUGGAAGUUCACUGCCACUACACCCAAGUUCUUGUCAGUAUUUGGUGGUAAAACAAAAUAAAAGUAGUUUUGUUAG
RNAcentral lists this long non-coding RNA (3194 nucleotides) under Rattus norvegicus (Norway rat). RNAcentral describes it as "long non-coding RNA NONRATT016993". The record is from RNAcentral. Lineage: Eukaryota; Metazoa; Chordata; Mammalia; Rodentia; Muridae.